GAAAUAUCAAUAAAUAAAGCUUCUAACUUUAACUCUAGAUUCAUAAAUAAAUCUAUAUUUCU
This 62-nucleotide transfer RNA is filed under the name Apis mellifera syriaca (Syrian honeybee). RNAcentral describes it as "tRNA-Ser". Lineage: Eukaryota; Metazoa; Arthropoda; Insecta; Hymenoptera; Apidae. The record is from RNAcentral.